Molecule: ribosomal RNA, 135 nt
Filed under: uncultured Bacteroidaceae bacterium
Lineage: Bacteria; Pseudomonadati; Bacteroidota; Bacteroidia; Bacteroidales; Bacteroidaceae
Description: partial 16S ribosomal RNA
Rfam family: Bacterial small subunit ribosomal RNA
Source: RNAcentral
GCGAGAGCCUGAACCAGCCAAGUGGCGUGGAGGACGACGGCCCUACGGGUUGUAAACUCCUUUUGGAGGGGAAUAAAGCGGCCCACGCGUGGGCUUUUGCAUGUACCCUCCGAAUAAGCAUCGGCUAACUCCGUG